GAACGCACAUUGCGCCCGCCAGUAUUCUGGCGGGCAUGCCUGUUCGAGCGUCAUUUCAACCCUCAAGCUCUGCUUGGCGUUGGGGAUCGGCAUCCCGGCUUCGUGCCGCGCCGUCCCCCAAAUACAGUGGCGGUCACGCUGCAGCUUCCUUUGCGUAGUAGCACACCUCGCACCGGAGAGCAGCGCGGCCACGCCGUAAAACCCCCGACUUCUUGUUUUUGACCUCGAAUCAGGUAGGACUACCCGCUGAACUUAAG
This 257-nucleotide unclassified non-coding RNA is filed under the name Myxocephala albida. Its description in RNAcentral is "sequence contains 5.8S rRNA gene". The stretch from base 1 to 53 matches the Rfam family "5.8S ribosomal RNA", at positions 102 to 154 of the family's 154-position model. Lineage: Eukaryota; Fungi; Ascomycota; Sordariomycetes. The record is from RNAcentral.